Molecule: ribosomal RNA, 253 nt
Filed under: uncultured bacterium
Lineage: Bacteria
Description: partial 16S ribosomal RNA
Rfam family: Bacterial small subunit ribosomal RNA
Source: RNAcentral
UACGUAGGGUGCGAGCGUUAAUCGGAAUUACUGGGCGUAAAGUGUGCGCAGGUGGCCGCGCAAGUCGAGUGUGAAAUCCCCGAGCUUAACUUGGGAAUUGCGCUCGAAACUACGUGGCUCGAGUGUGGCAGAGGAAGGUGGAAUUCCACGUGUAGCGGUGAAAUGCGUAGAGAUGUGGAGGAACACCGAUAGCGAAGGCAGCCUUCUGGGCCAACACUGACGCUCAUGCACGAAAGCGUGGGGAGCAAACAGG